Molecule: long non-coding RNA, 10510 nt
Organism: Gorilla gorilla gorilla (western lowland gorilla)
Lineage: Eukaryota; Metazoa; Chordata; Mammalia; Primates; Hominidae
Exons: 2
Source: RefSeq, a predicted model, not a curated record
UAACCAUGCUGAUAGCGAGCAGCCUUAUCUCCUUCCUGUCAGGCCUCUGAGCCCAAGCCAAGCCAUCACAUCCCCUGUGACUUGCACGUAUACGCCCAGAUUGCCUGAAGUAACUGAAGAAUCACAAAAGAAGUGAAUAUGCCCUGCCCCACCUUAACUGAUGACAUUCCACCACAAAAGAAGUGUAAAUGGCCGGUCCUUGCCUUAAGUGAUGACGUUACCUUGUGAAAGUCCUUUUCCUGGCUCAUCCUGGCUCAAAAAGCACCCACACUGAGCACCUUGCAACCCCCACUCCUGCCCGCCAGAGAACAAAGCCCCUUUGACUACGCGCAUUAAAUUUGGUGCCGUGACUCGGAUCAGGGGACCUCCCUUGGGAGAUCAAUCCCCCGUCCUCCUGCUUUCUGCUCCGUGAGAAAGAUCCACCUACGACCUCAGGUCCUCAGACCGACCAGCCCAAGAAACGUCUCACCAAUUUCAAAUCCGGUAAGCGGCCUCUUUUUACUCUCUUCUCCAACCUCCCUCACUAUCCCUCAACCUCUUUCUUCUUUCAAUCUUGGCGCCACACUUCAAUCUCUCCCUUCUCUUAAUUUCAAUUCCUUUCAUUUUCUGGUAGAGACAAAGGAGACACAUUUUAUCCGUGGACCCAAAACUCCGGUGCCGGUCACAGAUUGGGAAGGCAGGCUUCCCUUGGUGUUUAAUCACUGCAGGGACACCUCUCUGAUUAUACACCCACGUUUCAAGGGUGUCAGACCACACAGGGACGCCUGCCUUGGUCCUUCACCUUUAGCGGCAAGUCCCGCUUUUCUGGGGAAGGGGCAAGUACCCCAACCCCUUCUCUUCUUGUCUCUACCCCUUCUCUGCUUUUCUGGGGACAGGGCAAGUACCCCAAGCCCUUCUCUCCUUGUCUCUACCCCUUCUCUGCUUUUCCGGGGACAGGGCAAGUACCCCAAGCCCUUCUCUCCUUGUCUCUACCCCUUCUCUGCUUUUCUGGGAGAGGGGCAAGUACCCCUCAACCCCUUCUCCUUCACUCUUAGCAGCAAGUCCCACUUUUCUAGAGGGGCAAGUACCCCAACCUCAUAUCUCUGCGCCCCAAUCCCUUAUUUCCGCGCCCCGGCCUCUUAUUUCUGCGCCCCAUCCCUUAUUUCCGUGCCCCGACCUCUUCUCUGCGCCCCAACCCCUUUUCCCACUUUUCUGGAAAGUAAGAACUCCCGAACCCCUUCCCUCAGUUUCUCUACUCUCUUCUCUAGGAUUGCUUCCUUCACUAUGGGAACCUUCCACCCUCCAUUCCUCCUCCUACUCCCUUGGCCUGUGUUCUCAAAAACUUAAAACCUCUUCAACUCACACCUGACCUAAAACCUAAAUGCCUUAUUUUCUUCUGCAAUGCCCCUUGACCCCAAUACAAACUCGACAGUAGUUCCAAAUAGCCAGAAAAUGGCACUUUGAAUUUUUCCAUCUUGCAAGAUCUAAAUAAUUCUUGUCAUAAAAUAGGCAAACGGUCUGAGGUGCCUGACGUCCAGGCAUUCUUUUACACAUCAGUCUCUUCCUAGUCUCUGUGCCCAGUGCAACUCGUCCCAAAUCUUCCUUCUUUCCCUCCCACCUGUCUCCUCAGUACCAACCCCAAGCAUCGCUGAGUCUUUCUAAUCUUCCUUUUCUACAGACCCAUCUGACCUCUCCCUUCCUCCCCAGGCUGCUCCUUGCCAGGUCCCAAUUCUUCCUCAGCCUCUGCUCCUCCACCCUAUAAUCCUUUUAUCACCUCCCCUCCUCACAUCUGGUCCAGCUUACAGUUUCGUUCCGUGACUAGCCCUCCCACUCCUGCCCAGCAAUUUACUCUUAAAAAGGUGGCUGGAGCUAAAGGCAUAGUCAAAGUUAAUGCUCCUUUUUCUUUAUCCCAAAUCGGAUAGCGUUUAGGAUCUUUUUCAUCAAAUAUAAAAAUCCAGCCCAGUUCAUGACUUGUUUGGCAGCAACCCUGAGACACUUUACAGCCCUAGACCCUAAAAGGUCAAAAGGCCGUCUUAUUCUCAAAAUACAUUUUAUUACCCAAUCUGCUCCCGACAAUAAAUAAAACUCCAAAAAUUAAAUUCCGGCCCUCAAACCCCACAACAGGAUUUAAUUAACCUCGCCUUCAAGGUGUACAAUAAUAGGAAAAAGUUGCAAUUCCUUGCCUCCACUGUGAGACAAACCCCAGCCACAUCUCCAGCGCACAAGAACUUCCAAACGCCUGAACCGCAGCGGCCAGGUGUUCCUCCAGAACCUCCUCCCCCAGGAGCUUGCUACACUUGCCAGAAAUCUGGCCACUGGGCCAAGGAAUGCCCGCAGCCCGGGAUUCCUCCUAAGCCACGUCCCAUCUGUGUGGGACCCCACUGAAAAUCGGACUGUUCAACUCACCUGGCAGCCACUCCCAGAGCCCCUGGAACUCUGGCCCAAGGCUCUCUGACUCCUUCCCAGAUCUUCUCGGCUUAGCUGCUGAAGACUGACACUGCCCGAUCGCCUCAGAAGCCCCAUAGACCAUCACGGACGCCGAGCUUCGGGUAACUCUCACAGUGGAAGGUAAGCCCGUCCCCUUCUUAAUCAAUACGGAGGCUACCCACUCCACAUUACCUUCUUUUCAAGGGCCUGUUUCCCUUGCCUCCAUAACUGUUGUGGGUAUUGACGGCCAGGCUUCUAAACCUCUGAAAACUCCCCAACUCUGGUGCCAACUUAGACAAUACUCUUUUAAGCACUCCUUUUUAGUUAUCCCCACCUGCCCAGUUCCCUUAUUAGGCUGAGACACUUUAACUAAAUUAUCUGCUUCCCUGACUAUUCCUGGAGUACAGCUGUAUCUCAUUGCCGCCCUUCUUCCCAAUCCAAAGCCUCCUUUGCGUCCUCCUCUUGUAUCCCCCCACCUUAACCCACAAGUAUAAGAUACCUCUACUCCCUCCUUGGCGACCGAUCAUGCACCCCUUACCAUCUCAUUAAAACCUAAUCACCCUUACCCCACUCAACGCCAAUAUCCCAUCCCGCAGCACGCUUUAAAAAGAUUAAAGCCUGUUAUCACUCACCUGCUACAGCAUGGCCUUUUAAAACCUAUAAACUCUCCUUACAAUUCCCCCAUUUUACCUGUCCUAAAACCAGACAAGCCUUACAAUUUAGUUCAGGAUCUGCGCCUUAUCAACCAAAUUGUUUUGCCUAUCCGCCCCGUGGUGCCAAACCCAUAUACUCUCCUAUCCUCAAUACCUGCCUCUACAACCCAUUAUUCUGUUCUAGAUCUCAGACAUGCUUUCUUUACUAUUCCUUUGCACCCUUAAUCCCAGCCUCUCUUCGCUUUCACUUGGACUGACCCUGACACUUAUCAAGCUCAGCAAAUUACCUAGGCUGUACUGCUGCAAAGCUUCACAGACAGCCCCCAUUACUUCAAUCAAGCCCAAAUUUCUUCCUCAUCUGUUACCUAUCUCAGCAUAAUUCUCAUAAAAACACACGUGCUCUCCCUGCCAAUCAUGUCCGACUGAUCUCUCAAACCCAAGCACCUUCUACCAAACAACAACUCCUUUCCUUCCUAGGCAUGGUUAGCGUGGUCAGAAUUCUUACACAAGAGCCAGGACCACACCCUGUAUAGCCUUUCUGUCCAAACAACUUGACCUUACUGUUUUAGCCUAGCCCUCAUGUCUGCGUGCAGCGGCUGCCGCUGCUUUAAUACUUUUAGAGGCCCUCAAAAUCACAAACUGUGCUCAACUCACUCUCUGCAGUUCUCAUAACUUCCAAAAUCUAUUUUCUUCCUCAUACCUGACGCAUAUACUUUCUACUUCCUGGCUCCUUCAGCUAUACUCACUCUUUGUUGAGUCUCCCACAAUUACCGUUGUUCCUGGCCCAGACUUCAAUCCGGCCUCCCACAUUAUUCCUGAUACCACACCUGACCCCCAUGACUGUAUCUCUCUGAUCCACCUGACAUUCACCCCAUUUCCCCAAAUUUCCUUCUUUCCUGUUCCUCACCCUGAUCACGCUUGAUUUAUUGAUGGUGGUUCCACCAGGCCUAAUCGCCACACACCAGCAAAAAGGCAGGUUAUGCUAUAGUACAAGCCACUAGCCCGCCUCUUAGAACCUCUCAUUUCCUUUCCAUCGUGGAAAUCUAUCCUUAAGGAAAUAACUUCUCAGUGUUCCAUCUGCUAUUCUACUGCUCCUCAGGGAUUAUUCAGGCCCCCUCCCUUCCCUACACAUCAAGCUCGAGGAUUUGCCCCACCCAGGACUGGCAAAUUAGCUUUACUCAACAUGCCCUGAGUCAGAUAACUAAAAUACCUCUUAGUCUAGGUAGAUACUUUCACUAGAUAGGUAGAGGCCUUUCCUACAGGGUCUGAGAAGGCCACCGCAGUCAUUUCUUCUGUUCUGUCAGACAUAAUUCCUCAGUUUAGCCUUCCCACCUCAAUACAGUCUGAUAACAAACGAGCCUUUAUUAGUCAAAUCAGCCAAGCAGUUUUUCAGGCUGUUAGUGUUCAGUGAAACCUUUAUAUCCCUUACGGUCCUCCGUCUUCAAGAAAAGUAGAAUGGACUAAAGGUCUUUUAAAAACACACCUCACCAAGCUCAGCCACCAACUUAAAAAGGACUGGACAAUACUUUUACCACUUUCCCUUCUCAGAAUUCAGGCCUGUCCUUGGAAUGCUACAGGGUACAGCCCAUUUAAGCUCCUGUAUAGACGCUCCUUUGUAUUAGGCCCCAGCCUCAUUCCAAACACCAGACCAACUUAGACUGUGCCCCAAAAAACUUGUCAUCCCUACUAUCUUCUGUCUAGUCAUACUCCUAUUCACUGUUCUCAACUACUCAUACAUGCCCUACUCUUGUUUACACUGCCGGUUUACACUGUUUUUCCAAGCCAUCACAGCAGAUAUCUCCUGGUGCUAUCCCCAAACUGCCAGUCUUAACUCUUGAAGUAAAUAAAUAAUCUUUGCUGGCAGGACUAUGCUGAAUCUCCUUAGGCACUCUCUAAUCAGAUGUCCUCAGUCGUCCCAAUUCUUAGACCUUUUAUACUUGUUUUUCUCCUUCUGUUAUUCCAUUUAGUUUCUCAAUUCAUCCAAAACCGUAUCCAGGCCAUCACCAAUCAUUCUAUAUGACAAAUGUUUCUUCUAACAUCCCCACAAUAUCACCCCUUACCACAAGACAUCCCUUCAGCUUAAUCUCUCCCACUCGAGGUUCCCACGCCGCCCCUAAUCCCGCUUGAAGCAGCCCUGAGAAACAUCGCCCAUUCUCUCUCCAUACCACCCCCCAAAAAUUUUCACCACCCCAACACUUCAACACUAUUUUGUUUUAUUUUUCUUAUUAAUAUAAGAAGGCAGGAAUGUCAGGCCUCUGAGCCCAAGCCAAGCCAUCACAUCCCCUGUGACUUGCAAGUAUACGCCCAGAUGGCCUGAAGUAACUGAAGAAUCACAAAAGAAGUGAAUAUGCCCUGCCCCACCUUAACUGAUGACAUUCCACCACAAAAGAAGUGUAAAUGGCCGGUCCUUGCCUUAAGUGAUGACAUUACCUUAUGAAAGUCCUUUUCCUAGCUCAUCCUGGCUCAAAAAGCACCCCCACUGAGCACCUUGCAAUCCCCACUCCUGCCCGCCAGAGAACAAACCUCCUUUGACUGUAAUUUUCCUUUACCUACCCGAAUUCUAUAAGACAGCCCCACCCCUAUCUGCCUUCACUGACUCUCUUUUCGGACUCAGCUCACCUGUACCCAGGUGAAAUAAACAGCCAUGUUCCUCACACAAAGCCUGUUUGGUGGUCUCUUCACAAGGACGUGCAUGAAACUUCCUGAUUGAGCAUGCUGUUGGCCUUCACCUGUAUCAAUUUCAGAAUAAUUCAUUUUUUUCAUUUUUUAUUUCUGUGAUGCUUACCCCCUUUUAAGCUUGAACUAUUUUAAUUAAUUGAUUAAUCAUUUUGAUGUUUUCUUAAUCAUGUAUUAUUUCCUAAAACACACUAAGGAGUCUGUUUGACAGCUGACCUAUCCCACCGAGCUCCCAAUUCUUGCUGCAGUAUCAUCUGAUUUUAAUUAUCAUAGCCUUACACCUGGCCAACUCCAUUUUUAGAAACAACAUGCCUUUUUAUUAUUUUGCUUUCUUACUCUUUGGCUCCUUAUGGGGUAAAUCAACUUUCUAACCCAAGAGCUGACAUUUUCAGCAAAGAAGAAAUCGUCUUUUGUUAUGUUAACAUAGAGCCUUAGAUAUUAAUAGAGGCAGCUUCCUCAAACCAUUCCACAAAAUGAUGUGAUAGCUUUACCUUUCCAAAAAAUAAACUAGGAUGUGCAUAACAUUUUGGUGUUAUGUCUAAAGUUUCAUUAAAAUGUACCAUGCAAAACAAUCUUAAGUAUUUCUUUUUCUUUCUUUUUUUUUUUUUUGAGACUGAGUUUCGCUCUUGUUACCCAGGCUGGAGUGCAAUGGUGCGAUCUCAGCUCAUUGCAACCUCUGCCUCCCGGAUUCAAGCAAUUCUCCUGCCUCAGCCUCCGGAGUAGCUGGGAUUACAGGCAUGUACCACCAUGCCCAACAAAUUUUGUAUUUUUAGUAGAGACAGAGUUUCUCCAUGUUGAACAGGCUGGUCUCCAACUCCCAACCUCAAGUGAUCUGCCCACCAUAGCCUCCCAAAGUGCUGGGAUUACAGGUGUGAGCCAUUGCGCAAGGCCAAAUCUAAGUGUUUCUUGACAUAUCUGGCUGUCUGAGGAUGGCACAAAGCCAGUUUAAACAGCUAAGAAAAAGUUGGUUUAUCCUUGUGGCUAUAUUUGUGGUUGAAAUUGUGAAGGCCAAGUGUCCUAUAUUUUCUCGAAGGACAUUUUUUUCUUUUCCUUUGACUAUUCUCUUGUUGAUCACUUUUUAAAUUUCUCACAACAGUCAUUCUUAAGUAAACCACUCAAAGGGUGUAGGGAGUGAAAAGAGCUGCCGUCUGGUUUCUGACGGAACUGGUUUACCUCUUGCUUCCCUACUUCCCAUUAGCAUUGGCUUCUUCAUCUAUAAAGAAUCAUUUAACAAAAUGACAUUUGUCUCGUAGAGCUGGUAGAGUAGUUAAAUGGGAUUAUGUAUGGAAGGACCUUAGCACAAUGCCUGCACAAAAUAAAAACUAAAUAAAUGUAAGGUAGGUGUAGUGGCACAUGCCUGUAGUCGUCCCAUCUACCUGAGGCUGAGACAGAAGGGUUCAUUAAGCCCAGGAGUUCAAGACUGCAGUGCACACUGAUGGCGCCUAUAAGUAGCCACUACACUCCAGCCUGAGCAAUAUAGCAAGAGCCUGUCUCUUAAAAAAAAAAAAAAAAGUGUUUUCUUUGAGACACAGUCUCACUGUGUCACCUAGGCAGGAGUGCAAUGGUGCGAUCUCAGCUCACUGCAACUUCUGCAACCCCAGCUCAAGAUAUCCUACCAUCUCAGCCUCCCAAGCAGCUGGGACUACAGGCACUUACCAGAACAUGCAGCUAAUUUUUGUAUUUUGUGUACAGAUGGGGUUUCUCCAUGUUUCCCAGGCUGGUCUUGAACUCCUGGGCUCAAGCAAUCUUCCUGCUUUGGCCCCCAGAAAAAUUGUUAAUGUUGAAAAAAACACUAAAUAAAUGUAAGCUUACAAAAUAGACCUCCUCACCCCAGGCUACCUCAGUCCUUGCAAAUGAUCUUGCUUGACUCCUACUUUACUGAGAUGAUGAAGCUCUCAAUCUACCCUCUUCUUUAUGCUCAUCCUUAACCUAUCUAUCUCAUUCCCUCUGUAUUCCUAUCUCAAGAAAAAACAGGUUGUCUUUCCUGCCAAGGCUAUGCCUACAUCUUUGAUCUCCUUUCUUUCCUCCCUCCUUCCUUCCUUCCCUCCCUCCCUUCUUCCCUUCCUCCUUCCUUCCCUCCCUCCUUCAUUCUCUCUUUUCUUCCUUCUUUCCUUCCUUCCCUCUUCCCUUCCUUCUUUUCCUUCCUCCUUCUCUCCCUCCCUUCUCUCUCUGAACCUUGCUCAGUUCUCUUCUCCCUUAGAUCAGCAGUUCUCUACAUGUGCCCUGUCUGUUCUUUUUAUUAUAAAUAGAUUCAGUUCUCUCCUGCCCUAUAGAAACAAACCAUCUUUUUUUUUUUUUUUUUUUUUUUUUGAGACGGAGUCUCGCUCUGUCACCCAGGCUGGAGUGGAGUGGCGCGGUCUCGGCUCACUGUAAGCUCCGCCUCCCAGGUUCACGCCAUUCUCCUGCCUCAGCCUCCCGAGUAGCUGGGACCACAGGCGCCCACCACCACGUCUGGCUAAUUUUUUGUAUUUUUAGUAGAGACGGGGUUUCACUGUGUUAGCUAGGAUGGUCUUGAUCUCCUGACCUCGUGAUCCGCCCGCCUCAGACUCCCAAAGUGCUGGGAAUACAGGCUUGAGCCACCGCACCCAGCCAAAACAAACCAUCUUUAAGCAUUAUAUUUUAGUUAUCUAUUGCUGCAUAAUAUAUUGCUUCAAGACUUAGUGACUUGAAACAACCAUAAGUAUUUCUCAUCUCCCAUGGUUUCUAUGAGUCUGGCAUUGAGUGGCAGCUUGGUUGGGCAGUUCUGGCUUGGGGUCUGUCAAAAGGUUGCAUUCAGGUCAGCUGAGGCUGCAGUAUCUGAAGGGUUAAUGGAAAUGGAGGAUCCACUUCUGAGGUAGCUCACUGCGGAAGCUGGCAAAUUUGUGUUGACAAGUGGAGUCCUCUCUGUGUAAGCAUCUCCACAGGGCCGCCUGAGUGUUCUCACAACAUGGUGGCUAGCAUUAUCCCAUGGUGUGUGAUUCAUGAAGCCAAUGCAGAAGCUAUAAUUUCUUUACGAACUAGCUUUGGAAGUCACACGCUGUUAUUUCCUCUGUAUUCUGUUGGUCACACAGAGCAGUCCUGGUACAACAUGGCACAACAAAAGUACAUGAACACUAAAAGGCAAUAAUGAUUGGGGGCCAACUCAGAGGCUGACUACCCCACCUACUAGCACUCUCUUUGUUCUCCUGUGACUUUGAAAAGGUUGCCCACCAUGGCUCCAAUUUCUCAUCCUCUACUCUCUCAGGCAGAGUUCCUGUUUGUAAGCAAUUAAAGUUGACUGUAGGUAUUCCAAAGAGAAGUUUAUUAAAAAGAUAUUGUUGGAAGUGCUGGAGAACCAGAGUUGCUGAAGUUGAGUCUCCAAAAAGAAUGCCCAAAACCAGGCCACAAGACUGGGCAGAAGAACCACAAUUUCCCUUGCUGUGGCCACUGCUACUGCUGUUGCUCAAAAAGCCAAAGUUUCUGCUGCCACUCGCCCAACAAAAAUACAGCUAAUCCUUGAACAACACAGGUUUGAACUGCACUUAUACAUGGAUUUUUUUUACAUGGAUUUUUUUCAACAAAAGUUACACUGAGUGUGCUUGGGUUCCUGCUUCCUGUUCCACGUCUUCUGCUUCUGCCACCCCUGAGACAGAAAGACCAGCCCCUCCUCUUCCUUCUCCUUCUCAGCCUGAUCAGCAUGAGGAUGACAAGGAUGAAGACCUUUAUGAUGAUCCGCUUCCACUAAAUGAAUAGUGUAUUAGUUCGUUCUCACACUGCUAUAAAGACAUACCCGAGACUGAUUAAUUUAUAAAGAAAAGAGGUUUAAUUGACUUAUAGUUAUGCAUGGCUUGGGAGGCCUCAGGAAACUUACAAUCAUGGCGGAAGGGGAAGAGGCACAUCUUACAUGGUGGCAGGCGAGAGAGAGAAGAGGGAACAAAGGAGGAACUUCCAAACAGUUAUAAAACCAUCAGAUCUCUUGAGAACUCACUCACUAUCAUGAGAACAGCAUGAGGGAAACCACCCGCAUGAUCCGAUCACCUCCCACCUGGUCCCUCCCUCAACAACUGGGGAUUACAACUCAAGAUGAGAUUUGGGUGGGAAUACAAAGCCUAGCCAUAUCAAAUAGUAAAUAUAUUUUCUUAUUAUUAUUUUCUUAAUGACAUUUUCUUUUCUCUAGCAUAUUUUAUUGUAAAAAUACAGUAUAUAAUACAUAUAUAAAAUAUGUGUUAACUGUUUAUAUAGGCUUCCAGUCAAUAGUAGGCUAUUACUACUUAAGUUUUGGGGAAUAAAAAGUAAUACAUGGAUUUUUGACAGCACAGAGGUCAUUGCCCCAGCCCCAUGUUGUUCAAGGGUCAACUGUAGUAAAAGAUCCCACAAGAAAGUCUCUCAAGCUGUUGGUUUCUGAACAGGUAGUUAAUAUGGGUGUAUCUGAUGAGAAGCUGCAUACAUCACAUUCCUGCAUCUCAGCUGCUAGAGAAGCUGAGAAUCUCAAUUUUCUGAGUUCUGUUUUGGUGAGGCAAGAUGCAAAAGGCUAGAAAUAUCCCAAACAUAAUAAGAGUUUUCAGAAAGUGUAGGCCACCGAAAAAGAAUGACAAACUGUCUGCAAUAUCCUCUUCCUUCUUAAUCCUUGCAAUUUGGCUUCUGUCUAAAUUCCACUAAAGCCGCUUCUCAGUGGUCUCCAGUGAUGUUACAUGGGCCUUCCCACCCUUGGAUAAUUCCUGCACCUAGUGGGGAAAUUAACUUGGCCAGCAUCUUAGGUCAAGUUCCCCAGAAGUGGACACUGAGUGAAUUCAUGCCUUUGAUUUUUUUUUUUUUUU